This 465-nucleotide ribosomal RNA is filed under the name uncultured bacterium. RNAcentral's name for it is "partial 16S ribosomal RNA". It matches the Rfam family "Bacterial small subunit ribosomal RNA", at positions 338 to 795 of the family's 1533-position model. The record is from RNAcentral.
CCUACGGGAGGCAGCAGUAGGGAAUCUUCCACAAUGGGCGAAAGCCUGAUGGAGCGACGCCGCGUGGGUGAAGAAGGUCUUCGGAUCGUAUAACCCUGUUGUGAGAGAAGAAAGCGCGUGAGAGUAACUGUUCACGCUUCGACGGUAUCUAACAAGAAAGCGACGGCUAACUACGUGCCAGCAGCCGCGGUAAUACGUAGGUGGCAAGCGUUAUCCGGAUUUAUUGGGCGUAAAGGGAACGCAGGCGGUCUUUUAAGUCUGAUGUGAAAGCCUUCGGCUUAACCGGGGUAGUGCAUUGGAAACUGGGAGACUUGAGUGCAGAAGAGGAUGGUGGAACUCCAUGUGUAGCGGUGAAAUGCGUAGAUAUCUGGAAGAACACCAGUGGCGAAGGCGGCUCUCUGGUCUGUAACUGACGCUGAGGUUCGAAAGCGUGGGUAGCAAACAGGAUUAGAUACCCUGGUAGUC